Molecule: ribosomal RNA, 463 nt
Filed under: uncultured bacterium
Lineage: Bacteria
Description: partial 16S ribosomal RNA
Rfam family: Bacterial small subunit ribosomal RNA
Source: RNAcentral
GACGAACGCUGGCGGCGUGCUUAACACAUGCAAGUCGAACGGAACGGCCCUGCUUUUGUGGGGUGCUCGAGUGGCGAACGGGUGAGUAACACGUGAGUAACCUGCCCUUGACUUUGGGAUAACUUCAGGAAACUGGGGCUAAUACCGGAUAGGAGCUCCUGCUGCAUGGUGGGGGUUGGAAAGUUUAGUCGGUUGGGGAUGGACUCGCGUUUGAUUAGCGUGUUGGUAGGGUAGUAGCAUACCAAGGCGUCGCCGCAUGGCUGGUCUGAGAGGAUGAUCAGCCACGAUGGGACUGAGACACGGCCCAGACUCCUACGGGAGGCAGCAGUGGGGAAUAUUGGACAAGGGGCGAAAGCCUGAUACAGCAAUGCCGGGUGAGUGAUGAAGGCCUUAGGGUUGUAAAGCUCUUUUACACGGGAUGAUAAUGACAGUACCGGGAGAAUAAGCACCGGCUAACUACGUG